GAUGAACGCUAGCGGCGUGUAUAAGGCAUGCAAGUCGAGCGACGUACCUUCCUUCGGGAAGGGAUACGAGCGGCAAACGGGUGAGUAACACGUAGGCAACCUGCCCAUCAGCCGGGGAUAACUGCGGGAAACCGUGGCUAAUACCGGAUAAUCCUCUCCACCGCGGGGUGGGGAGUUGAAAGACGGUUUCGGCUGUCGCUGAUGGAUGGGCCUGCGGCGCAUUAGCUGGUUGGCGGGGUAACGGCCCACCAAGGCAACGAUGCGUAGCCGACCUGAGAGGGUGAUCGGCCACACUGGGACUGAGACACGGCCCAGACUCCUACGGGAGGCAGCAGUAGGGAAUCUUCCGCAAUGGACGCAAGUCUGACGGAGCAACGCCGCGUGAGUGAAGAAGGGUUUCGGCUCGUAAAACUCUGUUGUUAAGGAAGAACGCCAGGUAGAGUAACUGCUACCUGUGUGACGGUACUUAACCAGAAAGCCACGGCUAACUACGUGCCAGCAGCCGCAGUAA
This 511-nucleotide ribosomal RNA is filed under the name uncultured bacterium. Its description in RNAcentral is "partial 16S ribosomal RNA". It matches the Rfam family "Bacterial small subunit ribosomal RNA", at positions 28 to 523 of the family's 1533-position model. The record is from RNAcentral.